AUUGAACGCUGGCGGCAUGCUUUACACAUGCAAGUCGAGCGGCAGCGCGGGGGCAACCCUGGCGGCGAGCGGCGAACGGGUGAGUAAUGCAUCGGAACGUAUCCUCGAGUGGGGGAUAACCCAGCGAAAGUUGGGCUAAUACCGCAUGAGCUCUGAGGAGGAAAGCGGGGGACCUGCGAGGGCCUCGCGCUGGAGGAGCGGCCGAUGUCCGAUUAGCUAGUUGGUGGGGUAAAGGCUUACCAAGGCGACGAUCGGUAGCUGGUCUGAGAGGAUGAUCAGCCACACUGGGACUGAGACACGGCCCAGACUCCUACGUGAGGCAGCAGUGGGGAAUUUUGGACAAUGGGGGCAACCCUGAUCCAGCCAUGCCGCGUGAGUGAAGAAGGCCUUCGGGUUGUAAAGCUCUUUCGGACGGAACGAAAUGGGCGGGACUAAUACUCCUGUCUGAUGACGGUACCGUAAGAAGAAGCACCGGCUAACUACGUG
RNAcentral lists this ribosomal RNA (486 nucleotides) under uncultured bacterium. Its description in RNAcentral is "partial 16S ribosomal RNA". It matches the Rfam family "Bacterial small subunit ribosomal RNA", at positions 29 to 507 of the family's 1533-position model. The record is from RNAcentral.